Panicum virgatum (switchgrass) is the source of this 653-nucleotide long non-coding RNA. RefSeq lists it as uncharacterized. The record is from RefSeq and is a predicted model, not a curated record. Lineage: Eukaryota; Viridiplantae; Streptophyta; Magnoliopsida; Poales; Poaceae. The transcript has 2 exons.
ACCCCACCCCAUCCGAGCCCGCAGCCCGGCCAAGCAGAGCCCCGCCGUUGCCCGGCAAGGGGGCAACCUCGUUCUGGAGUCUCUACGACUCCGAUAGUCCGAUCAGGUUGGGAUUCGACGCGUGAUUUACUCCGAGUUCGAUUCCGCGUCGAUGGCGGUGGGGAUGUCUUGCUAGAGGCUUUAUAUAUGUCUGGGAGAGAAAAAAAAAACUCGCCUUUUUGGUGGGAUCUGGCUCUGUGAAUGGAACAGCCAUCGAGGUCGAGCGGCAAGCGCAAGGCCGCCGCCUUCGAUGCAUUUAUCUCCGGCGGCUGCAAGCGCCGCAUGGAGGCGGCGGCGUCUGAGGAGCGGGAUUGGACAUCGCUACACCCGGACAUCACCAUGAGCUAACUCGAGUGCUCAGCCUAGGUGACCGGGCGCUGUUCCUUAGUGAUGACCGGUGCCUAUCUGUCUCAGCCACGAAUCAACCUUCCAUCAGCAGCAAUUGCAUCUACUUUGCCAUGCCGAAGACUGUAAAUCCUGUGUUGGUGCAUUCACUCAGCGAUGGCUCGUUUGAAAGGCCGUGUUUGGAUGAAGGGUGGAAAAGUUUUAAUGAGAGAGAAACGAUGUUUUGACUACUAAUUAGGGGUAUUAAAUAAAGUCUAAUUACAAAAUUA